CGCCACUCCCGGGCUCUGGCGGGCUCCUCGGGGCUGGCAGCCUCACCCUGUUCCCAAAAGCUGAAUUGCUUGCGCCCCCUGGUGUGUCGGCCGCGAGCAACCUCGUCACCGACCUCAGCCACCCAGAGCAACGGCCAGGAGGGGGCGCUACAUCAGAGCCGCCCGCAGGCAGAGCCGUGCCCUUGAGUCGACAGCCUCCUUGGGGACCAGUCCCUCGCCGCUGCUAGGUAGCAGUUCCUAAAAAAAAAAUAAUAAUAAUUGGAGGAUAGAAGGAGUGGUAAUGAUAGAACCACCUCGCAGGAUUGCUGUAUACAAACUGCAAAUACAGUUUGUAUUUGCAGUGCUGGAGAUUAAACCUAGGGUCUCACACUCACCGAGGUGUCAUAUAACCCAUCUGGACAUGAAAUUACUGUGUAGCUGAGGAUGACUGUGAAUACCUGACCCUCCCACCUCGACCUCUCCAGUGCUAGGAUUAUAGGAAAUCAACAUCAAAACAGGGCACUCGGCUCCAUUUGGCGGACCCCUUUGAUGGCCCCGGUACACCAGCCCACUCCUGUCUGGGGGUGUCCACGGACUCUUCACUUCCUCUCUUCACUAUCAUUACGACGAGGCCCUAGUUCCCCUGCCUCUGCACUUACCUCUUUAACAUUCCAUAUGUCUCAUUUCUAGUGUUUAUUAUCUAUCUUGGUCAAUAAAAUGUAAGCUCCAUGAAGGCAGAAAUGCUUUUUUGAUGUGUGUAUUCGUGUGUGUG
Peromyscus maniculatus bairdii (prairie deer mouse) is the source of this 751-nucleotide non-coding RNA. The record is from RefSeq and is a predicted model, not a curated record. Lineage: Eukaryota; Metazoa; Chordata; Mammalia; Rodentia; Cricetidae.